RNAcentral lists this ribosomal RNA (456 nucleotides) under uncultured bacterium. RNAcentral describes it as "bacterial SSU rRNA". It matches the Rfam family "Bacterial small subunit ribosomal RNA", at positions 340 to 786 of the family's 1533-position model. The record is from RNAcentral.
UACGGGAGGCAGCAGUAGGGGAAUAUUGGGCAAUGGAGGCAACUCUGACCCAGCCAUGCCGCGUGCAGGAUGAAGGCGCUCAGCGUUGUAAACUGCUUUUAGCUGGGAAGAAAAGCAGUCCUGGGGGAUUGUGUGACGGUACCAGCGGAAUAAGCACCGGCUAACUCCGUGCCAGCAGCCGCGGUAAUACGGAGGGUGCGAGCGUUGUCCGGAUUUAUUGGGUUUAAAGGGUGCGUAGGUGGUUUUUCUAAGUCUGGUUUUGAAAGCAGGCGGCUUAACCGUCUGAUGUGGCUGGAAACUGGGGAACUUGAAUGGUUAGCGGCUGCCGGAACGGGUCAUGUAGCGGUGAAAUGCAUAGAUAUGACCCAGAACACCGAUUGCGAAGGCAGGCAGCCAGGGACCUGAUUGACACUGAGGGCACGAGAGCAUGGGGAGCCCAACAGGGAUUAGGAAUAC